Molecule: long non-coding RNA, 318 nt
Filed under: Rattus norvegicus (Norway rat)
Lineage: Eukaryota; Metazoa; Chordata; Mammalia; Rodentia; Muridae
Description: long non-coding RNA NONRATT023262
Source: RNAcentral
GAGAUAAGUACUAAGAAUGUGGUCGAUUGGGCUUGAGUCCCCUCACAAACUUAUACUGGAUAACCCAGCAGGAGACUUCGCGUGCUGAACACUCCCCCGUGUGAUUCCCACAAUGAAAGGACAUUGCUGACUGGAACCAGAAGAGCCAAGAAAACCCAGGGAGGCCAGUUUACACCCGUUACCCACUGGAUUUGAAAAGGAUGGUCACUUCCUUCCGGUAGUGGAUGACUACUUUGUCAAGAAAUUGAAGGGUUUGGGAACUCCCUUCGCCUUGUGCAAUUUGACACAUUUUAUAUUUAUGAAUGAAUGUUGCAAAAA